GACCUGGUCGAGUGGUCCGCCUAACGGUGUGUACUGCUUGACUGGGCCUUACCUCUUGGUGAGCCGGCGUGCCCUUUACUGGUGUGCGUCGGGGAACCAGGACUUUUACCUUGAGAAAAUUAGAGUGUUCAAAGCGGGGCCUUGCCCGAAUACAUUAGCAUGGAAUAAUGGAAUAGGACGUGCGGUUCUAUUUCGUUGGUUUCUAGAGUCGCCGUA
RNAcentral lists this ribosomal RNA (216 nucleotides) under uncultured fungus. RNAcentral describes it as "partial small subunit ribosomal RNA". The stretch from base 92 to 216 matches the Rfam family "Eukaryotic small subunit ribosomal RNA", at positions 738 to 864 of the family's 1831-position model. Lineage: Eukaryota; Fungi. The record is from RNAcentral.